GUGAAAAAAUAUUUAAAUGCCUCAGCACAUUCAAACAUUAUUUUCUUCAUUUAUUUUCAAUAUUUAAUUAAAUUCCUGCAUUUUGUUUUAAGAACCUGUUCCUACAUGAACCUAUGCAAUCAUAGAUCGGUACCUAGCUGAACAACAUGCUCUCUGGUCAGCUGGGCCCAGACGCCCAGGGACACCUCCUGGCCCAGGAUCUUGGGACAAAUAGUACUACCCGCAGAAUGCAGCCACUCUGAAUCCGGGCUCCAUACUUUCUUGGCCAGGGGACAAGACUACCUCGUCAAUAAGAGGCCUUAUACUCACAAGUUCAAGCCCAGUGAGCGAUGUUCACAUUAUCAAACUCUGCAUCUCAAAAGAAACCUGGAUAGCAAAGCGUAGAGUUUCUUCUUGAAGCAUUUGCAACAGCAGCAGUCAUCAUCUUGAGAUUCUGGCAUCUCCAUUGUGAAGGACCCUCAGUCUGUGAUCAUCAUGCAGAGCGAACCUCAGGUGUGUGUUCAAGUAAUGU
Long non-coding RNA from Dreissena polymorpha, 511 nucleotides. RefSeq lists it as uncharacterized. The transcript is spliced from 3 exons. Lineage: Eukaryota; Metazoa; Mollusca; Bivalvia; Myida; Dreissenidae. The record is from RefSeq and is a predicted model, not a curated record.